RNAcentral lists this ribosomal RNA (253 nucleotides) under uncultured bacterium. Its description in RNAcentral is "partial 16S ribosomal RNA". It matches the Rfam family "Bacterial small subunit ribosomal RNA", at positions 524 to 776 of the family's 1533-position model. The record is from RNAcentral.
UACGUAGGGUGCGAGCGUUGUCCGGAAUUACUGGGCGUAAAGAGCUCGUAGGCGGUUUGUCGCGUCGUCCGUGAAAACUUGGGGCUCAACCCCAAGCUUGCGGGCGAUACGGGCAGACUUGAGUACUGCAGGGGAGACUGGAAUUCCUGGUGUAGCGGUGAAAUGCGCAGAUAUCAGGAGGAACACCGGUGGCGAAGGCGGAUCUCUGGGCCUGUCCUGACGCUCAGGCGCGAAAGCUAGGGGAGCGAACAGG